UAGCCCUGGUUUCUCUUCAGUCAUGCAUGAAUCUUUUGCCUUUUAUUAAAGAUUUCAAUGGAGAGGAACAUCAGUGAGUUUGAUAUGUUUUUGUGAGCUUUGCUCUGGCAAAGCU
Small nuclear RNA from Hemibagrus wyckioides, 115 nucleotides. RefSeq annotates it as U5 spliceosomal RNA. The transcript has a single exon. Lineage: Eukaryota; Metazoa; Chordata; Actinopteri; Siluriformes; Bagridae. The record is from RefSeq and is a predicted model, not a curated record.